AUCCACAUUAAUCCACUCUUUCUUAAUUCAACCGAUGGUAAAACUAGUUGUUUUAUUGAGACAUAAAAACAACAUGAUUUUGGACAUUUUCUUUUUGUAAAUACUUACAUGCGAUAUCUAAUUUCUAUGUUUAUUUUUACCAUCCAACAUUUAUUUCAAAUUCACAGCAAAUAUAUCUCCCACAUCAAUUUCUUGUUAUGAGUUGGUUAAUUUGAAGUUUUGUUUUGGAUCUGAAUAUGCUAAUCUCUAGCAAGUGAAAUAUGACUUUUGAUAUUGGAUCUUUUCUAAAAAAUGUCCAAGACGUGUUUUUAAGUUUCAGGAUUGUUAAGGGUACCAUGUAAGGAUACUGUCAUUUGGUAGUAUCGAGAAAGAAGUGCUUGAAGUCAAUCCGAGUGAAAAGAAGUAUUAUAAAGACAUUUAUUUGAGUUUCUACUUAGAAGGUGGUAACAAUGUUCAUUACAACGUGGCAUUUUUAAACACAGGUAUGCAAAACUUCAAAAUCUUUUAAUACAAAAAAACAUGGUUAUUGAUAUUUAAGAAUUUCUCACCGAAAUGCCUAUUGUGGAUCAUGUUGAGUCAUCCCCAUCAGAUCAUCGUUCAAGCUUGGGGUGUUUCCAUUCAUAUAAAAACAAUAUAAGGUUGCGCGUUUCCAAUAUACAUGAUGAAGACAAGCAGUUACUAGAAAAAUUUGCAAAACACGAAAUUAUGUUAGAAGCAAGAAUCUUCUAUAGGAAAGAUGAAAUGUUAUUAGAAAACGUGAACACAUUCACUCAUAGAAUAAAACUAGUCAUUUAGUCUCAAUAUUUUUCUCUCAAUUCUCUGUGUAUUGAUCAUUCUGGUCACGUCUGUCUAUUCAUAUUAUAUUUCUUUUUGUAUAAUAAUCUAAACACAUUGUUUUGUUUAGAUUAAGUGUAAAAAUUGGUAUUCAUACACAUUGAAGUUAAAUAAAGUAAUUGGGCCGACUUGAAUUGUUUUAA
This is a long non-coding RNA of Erigeron canadensis, 977 nucleotides long. RefSeq lists it as uncharacterized. The transcript has 3 exons. NCBI's taxonomy places the organism in Eukaryota, Viridiplantae, Streptophyta, Magnoliopsida, Asterales, Asteraceae. The record is from RefSeq and is a predicted model, not a curated record.